GAUUAACGCUGGCGGCGUGCAUAACACAUGCAAGUCGAACGAUGAAACUUAGUAGACUUCUUCGGAAAGACACUAAGCGGCUUAGUGGCGAACGGGUGAGUAACGCGUGAGUAACCUGCCUUACACAAGGGGAUAGCCUUUGGAAACGAAGAAUAAUACCCUAUAAAACCAUAAAAGCACAUGCUAGAAUGGUCAAAGUGAUAGCGGUGUAAGAUGGACUUGCGCCUGAUUAGCUAGUUGGUGAGAUAAAAGCUCACCAAGGCAACGAUCAGUAGCCGGCUUGAGAGAGUGUACGGCCACAUUGGGACUGAGACACGGCCCAGACUCCUACGGGAGGCAGCAGUGGGGAAUUUUGCACAAUGGGGGAAACCCUGAUGCAGCGACGCCGCGUGAUUUAGAAGGCCUUCGGGUUGUAAAAAUCUUUUGUAUAGGAAGAAAAUGACAGUACUAUACGAAUAAGGUCCGGCUAAUUACGUG
This 477-nucleotide ribosomal RNA is filed under the name uncultured bacterium. RNAcentral's name for it is "partial 16S ribosomal RNA". It matches the Rfam family "Bacterial small subunit ribosomal RNA", at positions 28 to 507 of the family's 1533-position model. The record is from RNAcentral.